Molecule: ribosomal RNA, 465 nt
Filed under: uncultured ammonia-oxidizing beta proteobacterium
Lineage: Bacteria; Pseudomonadati; Pseudomonadota; Betaproteobacteria
Description: bacterial SSU rRNA
Rfam family: Bacterial small subunit ribosomal RNA
Source: RNAcentral
GGAGGAAAGCAGGGGAUCGCAAGACCUCGCGCUAUUAGAGUGGCCGAUGUCCGAUUAGCUAGUUGGUGGGGUAAUGGCCCACCAAGGCGACGAUCGGUAGCUGGUCUGAGAGGAUGAUCAGCCACACUGGGACUGAGACACGGCCCAGACUCCUACGGGAGGCAGCAGUGGGGAAUUUUGGACAAUGGGCGCAAGCCUGAUCCAGCCAUGCCGCGUGAGUGAAGAAGGCCUUCGGGUUGUAAAGCUCUUUCGGCCGGAACGAAAUCGUCCGGGCUAAUACCUCGGAUGGAUGACGGUACUGGAAGAAGAAGCACCGGCUAACUACGUGCCAGCAGCCGCGGUAAUACGUAGGGUGCAGGCGUUAAUCGGAAUUACUGGGCGUAAAGCGUGCGCAGGCGGCUUCCUAAGUCAGAUGUGAAAUCCCCGGGCUUAACCUGGGAACUGCGUUUGAAACUACAAAGCUAG